Molecule: ribosomal RNA, 213 nt
Filed under: uncultured bacterium
Lineage: Bacteria
Description: partial 16S ribosomal RNA
Rfam family: Bacterial small subunit ribosomal RNA
Source: RNAcentral
CGGCUGAGUAACACGUAGGAACGUACCCCAAAGUGAGGGAUAAGCACCAGAAAUGGUGUCUAAUACCGCAUGUGCUCUAAGGAGUAAAGCUCCGGCGCUUUGGGAACGGCCUGCGUCCGAUUAGCUUGAUGGUGAGGUAAUGGCUCACCAUGGCGACGAUCGGUAGCUGGUCUGAGAGGAUGAUCAGCCAGACUGGGACUGAGAACGGCCCAG